AUUGAACGCUGGCGGCAUGCCUUACACAUGCAAGUCGAACGGCAGCACGGGAGCAAUCCUGGUGGCGAGUGGCGAACGGGUGAGUAAAGUAUCGGAACGUGCCCAGGCGUGGGGGAUAACGUAGCGAAAGUUACGCCAAUACCGCAUACGAUCUAUGGAUGAAAGCGGGGGAUCGCAAGACCUCGCGCGAUUGGAGCGGCCGAGAUCAGAUUAGGUAGUUGGUGGGGUAAAGGCUCACCAAGCCGACGAUCUGUAGCUGGUCUGAGAGGACGACCAGCCACACUGGGACUGAGACACGGCCCAGACUCCUACGGGAGGCAGCAGUGGGGAAUUUUGGACAAUGGGCGAAAGCCUGAUCCAGCCAUGCCGCGUGCAGGAUGAAGGCCUUCGGGUUGUAAACUGCUUUUGUACGGAACGAAAAGGUUUGGCCUAAUAAGCUGAGCUCAUGACGGUACCGUAAGAAUAAGCACCGGCUAACUACGUGCCAGCAGCCGCCGUAA
RNAcentral lists this ribosomal RNA (500 nucleotides) under uncultured bacterium. RNAcentral describes it as "partial 16S ribosomal RNA". It matches the Rfam family "Bacterial small subunit ribosomal RNA", at positions 29 to 523 of the family's 1533-position model. The record is from RNAcentral.